This 832-nucleotide ribosomal RNA is filed under the name Streptosporangiaceae str. IM-6876. Its description in RNAcentral is "bacterial SSU rRNA". It matches the Rfam family "Bacterial small subunit ribosomal RNA", at positions 38 to 889 of the family's 1533-position model. The record is from RNAcentral. Lineage: Bacteria; Bacillati; Actinomycetota; Actinomycetes; Streptosporangiales; Streptosporangiaceae.
GGCGGCGUGCUUAACACAUGCAAGUCGAGCGGAAAGGCCCUUCGGGGUACUCGAGCGGCGAACGGGUGAGUAACACGUGAGUAACCUGCCCUUGACUUCGGGAUAAGCCUGGGAAACCGGGUCUAAUACCGGAUACGACUCCGCGUGGCAUCGCGUGGGGUGGAAAGUUUUUUCGGUCGAGGAUGGGCUCGCGGCCUAUCAGCUUGUUGGUGGGGUAGUGGCCUACCAAGGCGACGACGGGUAGCCGGCCUGAGAGGGCGACCGGCCACACUGGGACUGAGACACGGCCCAGACUCCUACGGGAGGCAGCAGUGGGGAAUAUUGCGCAAUGGGCGGAAGCCUGACGCAGCGACGCCGCGUGGGGGAUGACGGCCUUCGGGUUGUAAACCUCUUUCAGCAGGGACGAAGUUGACGUGUACCUGCAGAAGAAGCGCCGGCUAACUACGUGCCAGCAGCCGCGGUAAUACGUAGGGCGCAAGCGUUGUCCGGAAUUAUUGGGCGUAAAGAGCUCGUAGGUGGCUUGUCGCGUCUGCCGUGAAAGCCCAUGGCUUAACUGUGGGUCUGCGGUGGAUACGGGCUGGCUAGAGGUAGGUAGGGGCAAGCGGAAUUCCUGGUGUAGCGGUGAAAUGCGCAGAUAUCAGGAGGAACACCGGUGGCGAAGGCGGCUUGCUGGGCCUUACCUGACGCUGAGGAGCGAAAGCGUGGGGAGCGAACAGGAUUAGAUACCCUGGUAGUCCACGCUGUAAACGUUGGGCGCUAGGUGUGGGGGACCUUCCACGUUUCCCGUGCCGCAGCUAACGCAUUAAGCGCCCCGCCUGGGGAGUACGGCCGC